AGCAGUUUGCGCUGCUGUGUCACUCUGAUGGCUUCCUCCUUCUUUUAUGAUGAAAUAAUGCUGAAUUUAUGUGGAAAUGACUGUUGUACAAAAGCUUCAAAUAUCUGUCGCUGAGACAAAUGAUGACUGAAGUGCAGUUGUAAGCAGAAACUAG
Long non-coding RNA from Thalassophryne amazonica, 154 nucleotides. RefSeq lists it as uncharacterized. The record is from RefSeq and is a predicted model, not a curated record. NCBI's taxonomy places the organism in Eukaryota, Metazoa, Chordata, Actinopteri, Batrachoidiformes, Batrachoididae. The transcript has 3 exons.